Podarcis raffonei (Aeolian wall lizard) is the source of this 494-nucleotide long non-coding RNA. RefSeq lists it as uncharacterized. NCBI's taxonomy places the organism in Eukaryota, Metazoa, Chordata, Lepidosauria, Squamata, Lacertidae. The transcript has 2 exons. The record is from RefSeq and is a predicted model, not a curated record.
CACCUAUGCCUGCUUCCCAUCGUAGUUCGAUACUCUAACCACUGUACCAUACUGUACUGCACCGGCUCUUCUGAGUGCUUCGGUGGACAGCCAGCACUUGGGUUUGGGCCACCUUGUGACUUAAAGAGAAGGGGCAAUAGAGUUGCUGAAGGAGUGAAGGCACCUGCGUCAGAUGGAGCACCAAAUAACAGAGGCAUGCUUAGCUUAGAUCGCUCUCUUGACCAAAGGGACUAAUAGAAAAAAACAUCAACUUGGCUAAGGCAAAGUACCAGAAUGAAGGACCUUCCCUGGUAUCGAUGUCAAGCUCAAACUCCAAUUAGUUUCAAGGCAUCAUGGCCAAUGGUCUGGGAUGAUGGAAAUUGUAGUCCAGCAACUUCUAGAAAACCACAGACUUGUUUUGUUAUGUUUGUAAUUAUGUAAUUUUAACAUGUUGUAAGCUGCUUUGUUUUAACUUUGGAAAGGCAGCAUACAAAUAAAAUGAUUGAUUGACUGAA